Molecule: long non-coding RNA, 5156 nt
Filed under: Rattus norvegicus (Norway rat)
Lineage: Eukaryota; Metazoa; Chordata; Mammalia; Rodentia; Muridae
Description: long non-coding RNA NONRATT029268
Rfam family: mir-133 microRNA precursor family (bases 3816-3888)
Source: RNAcentral
UUUUGGCAAGUGCUUCUUCACGGCCGACGACUCCACCCAGAGAACACACCGGUGACUUCUUCGUUCCUUGGCCACGUUUGUCCUACCUGCAGGUGCCCUCUUCCCCAGCAAUCCACCUCUGCAGACUUCUCCCGCAGCACGGGGCUUUUAGGCCUACAACCUAGCUCCUUUAUACCAACCUCCCUAGUGCCACUCCUCAGACCUACUCUCAGAGAAUCGGCUCCCGGGGUUCUAGCUCCUUCCUCUGCUCGUAUUUCUCCUGCAGUGGAUGUUUCUACCAAGCAAGCUCAAUGAUAGUUCAUGGUGCCACAUGUGUAGCGGUUGCUAUGUGUGUGUGUGUGUGUGUGUGUGUGUGUGUGUGUGUGUGUGUGUGUGUGUGUGUGUGUGACUUGUGUUAUACACAGAAAGUAAACAACGCCUAGGCUCCGAAGACCACCACUUUGGUGGAAGGCGCCACACCUCUCCCGGUCCUGCCAGGCUGUUGUUUCUACUUCAUGACCCCUGUUAGUGUGUUACUUCAAAGCCACACUGUCUGAGGAAAGGUGGAGGUGCUAAAAUACUGAUGCAUUCAUUUAAUGGCCUUAGUUCCUUUGUUCUUAACCCAGUCCCCCUGUGUUCCCAGUUCUCUCUAGUGUCUAAGCUCAUGCCAUGAAGGAAGUAAACACUAGAGGGCAAUUGAGAAGAUGAGAAGCUAUAGUGAUGGGCUAGAACUCCAUUAAACUUGCAGCUGAGCUCAUUAGCAAAACAAAAGGAAGUACCAUAGCAUUUGAGAUGCAUGCCCAGAAGCCCAGAACAGGAGAAAAGGAAGAGAAAGGAUAUGUGUGUUUCCUAGACAGAUAGCUGGACCCUCAAAAACAUCAGCAUACAGAACAUGCUGGGCAGCUCUCUCAUGCUCCCAAGUGAGAUGCAGCCAUAUUGGAGACCACUAGAUCCCUCUUUCAGGAACCAGGUAGUCCCCUAGCUACCAACAUGAGCAUGCCACCCUAUUCUUCUGGGGAUAGACAGGAAUGUGGAAGGACGGGGGAAACUACUAGAGCUGGACCAGCUUCAGGACUGAGCACAGAAUCUUACCACUGUAGAUCAGUACCCAGGCACUGAGUAAUUUGGGCAGAAUUAUUGUUGUCACACUUAGGGUAUUCCUGGAGACCAGGGAUGUGGAGACCAGGGAUGCAGAGAAGCAUGUACAGUGCUCAGACCAUCUCCAUAGCAACGAGGUACCCAGCCCAAAAUUUCAAUGUGUGAAGAUGGAGAACCCCUGUAUUGGAUAGUAAGGUGUCCGACACUAGCAUUUUCCAAGAAAUAUCUCUGUCCUUUCUGUUUUAGACUUUAGUAUAUAUAUCUGAUGCCUCAAAUCAAACUGUUUUCCAUUGACAGCCAGUCUUUUUGGUUUUUUCUAACCUCACCUGCUCUGACCAUGGAUUUUUCUUUUUCUACCCUGGUGUUUGGUUUCAUGACAUCCUGAAAUCAGCGACCUGUUAGAUGGCUGUGCUGCUGAGGCUAGGUCAAAAAACAUGGGCAAAGAAAAGGAAAGAGCUGGGGAAGUGGUGUUCAGAAUUCUUGCAUACACUUUUUCAGGAGUAAAUUCAGACAGCCAGGCUGUCUCUGCCACUGCAGUUGCCUGGCUUCCUGCUCCCUAACGUAAGCUGUAGGCAAGAUAGGCACAGAAGAAGAUAAAGGACAGGAGCCACUAGAUGCCUGUUACUAGAAAAAGGGCAAUGGAGAAGGUUAAGAUUGUGACCGCCAAGCCUGGAGGAUUCCCACCAAGGAGGCCUGACUUGGGACACAAAGAAACCUCAGUAUUAUCUAGAGUUACGCCAUAUUUUUGGGAUGUUUAUUUCUCUCAUCCCUAUAUACAUACAUGAUAGGUAUGAUCUCAUCCAGUUGUCUUUUCUGCAGUGCCCUGUUGGGUGCCUUAAAGUAUGAGGUACCUUGUCGAUUCUAGACAGACCUUUCAAAAUGGAGUCCAUCUUGAAGAAGCCAGUCACCCAACUACCUCACUUCUAGACAUGUCUGGUGGUUUUAACACAUUCACGGAUAAGUGCAAAGCCUUGUUGAUGAAUGAUGGGGCACAAUUCACAAGGAAAGAUGAAGUCGAAAGUGAAGUUUGGGUCUCAAAAGCAAGCAGAAUUGCCCCCUCAGACUCUCCUACAAGCCUUGCUGGUCUCCACUGUCUACCUGAAGGACUCCGUACACCCUUCACUACUAACAAACCUCACAGGAGGCAGGCAAAGUAGGCAUGCUUUUCACCAUACAGACAAACAUGCUGACCUGUCAACGUGCUACUUAACACCUCAACACCAAAUAUCAUCAUUUGAUAUUUCUCAGUAGCAAAUCCUCAAUAUCCUAUAAAUAAGUUAAAUAAAUAAAUAAAUAAUAAAAAUGAAUCAAGAAAGCAUUGGUGGAAUUUAGACCCAGAUAAAAGUGAGUCCACGUCUACACAUUUGCUUCAUUCUUUUUUGGGAGGGAGUGGUUUGGGGGUUUUGUUUGCUUCUUUUGUUUUGUUUUUAGAGACAGGCUUUCCCUGUGUAGCAUUGGCCAUCCUGGAACUCACUCUGUAGACCAGGCUAGCCUCAAACUCAGAAACCCAUCUGCCUCUGCUUCCUAAGUGCUGGAAUUAUAGGUGCGUGCCACCACUGCCUGGCCACACUUUCUUCUCAAGGACUUCUAUUCAUCAAAAAGAAACGUUAGCCAGUAACUAACCCCAAGGGAGAAAAUUGGUUUUCUGCAAGCACUCAAACUAUCUUUUCUGCCUACGUCUUUCCUCUCCUAUACUUUAUGAAGAUAGCCAAGCCACAUAUUGGGGGAGUCUCUCCUUCUUACCCACACUUGAUCUCACGUCACUAUUAACAAGUAAAAAUCGGAGGAUACCCCUUCUAGUUCAAUGGUUCUCAAACUUUAGAUGCCUCGGAAGUACUCAAAAAGCAGGGUAGGUCGUGAGUUUUGGGGCCCCAUUCCUGUGUAUCUUGGGAUGGUAAACAGUACUUUUCAUUUACAAGGUCAACUCAUCAGGUUCUUACCUACUGGAAUCCAGGCUUCUUCAUGAUCUGCAAGAACCAAAAAUGCCUCAGUCUCCCUCAGUAGACUCUACCAGAGUCAGUUCCAUUCAUUCUUGCAAACCAAAGGACUGUGAUAUCUAUUACUGGGAGAAGAAAUGAAGAGAAUAUAUUUACAUGAUAAAAACUAUCAAACUAUGUAAAUUACUGAAUUGCAAUGGCCACAUUAAUAUGCAUGAAUGUUACAGGUAUCGUGUAAGGUAAAAUUAACAAGCCACAGAUAAAUAUAUAUAAUAUAAUGCAUUGAAAUAUAUUUGAUUCCAAAUGAGAAAAGCUAUAAAGAAAAACAUUUAGAUGACAAGAAAACUAAAAAUCCAGUAUCGUAGUUACUGUAUAUUAUCCCUACCUACUUAUAUUUCAUUUUUAAUGCAAACAUGAUACAUUCAUAGAGGACUGUAUAAUGCACAUUUACAUAUGCAUAUAAAUACACUUGUCAAGUUUAUUUUGGAAUAUAAAAGAAAGGAGUUUCUAUUGUUUUUUUCCAUAUUCUAUAUCUGUAUUCCAUUUUGGUGCCUAAUGUUCCAAUUUGAGAAAAAUAAUAGAGAGCUAAAGAAAGUGAAUAAAUAAAAACUAGAAAGCAAAAUACAGACUUUGUGAGAUUCCUCUCAAGUCGUGUGAGUGGUUAGUCAGGGUAAUGUACUCUUUGGGGGGUUGAUUCAUGCUAAUGUGUUCUCUCUGUUACAGGCUUGGACAAGCGAUGCUCGAACACUCCAAGGACUUCACACACUAGAGGCUGCAGUCACUUCCCAAGGGAGCGGCCCCCUGCUCUGGCUGGUCAAACGGAACCAAGUCCGUCUUCCUGAGAGGUUUGGUCCCCUUCAACCAGCUACAGCAGGGCUGGCAAAGCCCAAUCUUUGGAGAAAGAGAAGAGAAGAGAAAUUAUCUGCUACCAUCUUGCUUAUGAAAAGCAGUUCUGGUUUUGUCCUCAUAGCCUCAUGUUCUCAGGAAGGAAGAAGAAAGGAGAAAACCCAGGUUCACAAGAGAUCAUAGGUCUCAUGCUCAACACACAGAAUCCUCUGCCUUUGUGUCCACAUUUAAAUCCAUGCACACCCACUGAUGAUGCGAUGGAUGGAGCUUGGGCCAGCCUUAGGCCAGCCAGUGGCAGAAUAUGGUACAUAGGAGACAGGUCUUCUGCCCACAAGGACACAGAAGCAUAAGUAAGGCCACUGACAAUGGAAAUACAGCACAACUCAACGGAGUUGCAGGCUGAAACAUGCUCGGUCCAAGAUAUCAUUCAUAAAUGUGUGGGAUGGAUGGAUAUAGACAAAUAUAUAUGUAUAUAUGUGUGGACAUAUAUGAAUAUAUAUUAUAUAUAUACUGAAUUUGCCUGUGACGUUCUACAUUCUCCAUGAAGCCCAGAGCUUUGUGUACACUGAAAUUAAAGUACACAGAAGGAGGUUACCCAACUCCCCAUAGCUGGUACCUAUGAUUAAGGUAAAGCCCUGUCUUCCUGUUUGAAACCUUCCUGUUUUGUUUAUUAGUUAUCAUGUGAACUCAUAACUAGCCUCGGUCAAAUAGCCUCAGUCACCUCUGUUAAAACCUUAAUUGCCUUUUCAUCAGUACAUAGAAAUAGUGACCUGAUCAAUCACAUCAUUGUUCUAAGACAAUGUGUGUAAAUAACCAACCAUAAGCAUUCAGGGAAUGCAUAGCUUGCUAUUAUGACAAUAAUGGUGUCAUGCCCAGAGGCAUGGUCCCUUGAGGAGGAAGAACAAAUUUUAAAAGAUAAAAUUGCCAAAAUAAAUGUUAUAUUUAUGUCAGUACAUUUAUAUUCUGGCUAUUGAUUCUACCAGCAUGCAAGAUACACUCAUCCUAGUGCAUACUGUCAGUAUGUAGUAAGUUUUGCCAAAAAUUACUUCACACGUGAGAUUCUACUACGUGGGAAGAGGUUCCUGACAGCAUCGAGCUUGCUCUAUAGCCAUAGAGCCUUCUGGGUGUGUGAGCAUGUUUUCUAGAUGCAAACAGAAGAAACGUGGCUGCAGUUGGCUGCCUGUGAAAAUAAUGUACGAAGGUCUAAAAUUAGGACAGGGUGCACAAUGAGGUUUUUCUCUUUGACAAUGCUUUUAAAACCAAAUUGGUAUUCAAUAAACUUUUCCCUAAUAAAUG